Molecule: ribosomal RNA, 495 nt
Filed under: uncultured bacterium
Lineage: Bacteria
Description: partial 16S ribosomal RNA
Rfam family: Bacterial small subunit ribosomal RNA
Source: RNAcentral
GACGAACGCUGGCGGCGUGCCUAAUACAUGCAAGUAGAACGCUGAAGGAGGAGCUUGCUUCUCUGGAUGAGUUGCGAACGGGUGAGUAACGCGUAGGUAACCUGCCUGGUAGCGGGGGAUAACUAUUGGAAACGAUAGCUAAUACCGCAUAACAGUAGAUAUCGCAUGAUAUCUACUUGAAAGUUGCAAUUGCAUCACUACCAGAUGGACCUGCGUUGUAUUAGCUAGUUGGUGAGGUAACGGCUCACCAAGGCGACGAUACAUAGCCGACCUGAGAGGGUGAUCGGCCACACUGGGACUGAGACACGGCCCAGACGCCUACGGGAGGCAGCAGUAGGGAAUCUUCGGCAAUGGACGGAAGUCUGACCGAGCAACGCCGCGUGAGUGAAGAAGGUUUUCGGAUCGUAAAGCUCUGUUGUAAGAGAAGAACGAGUGUGAGAGUGGAAAGUUCACACUGUGACGGUAUCUUACCAGAAAGGGACGGCUAACUACGUG